Long non-coding RNA from Homo sapiens (human), 1400 nucleotides. Ensembl annotates it as arylacetamide deacetylase pseudogene 1. Its record names the gene AADACP1. NCBI's taxonomy places the organism in Eukaryota, Metazoa, Chordata, Mammalia, Primates, Hominidae. The record is from Ensembl.
AAUGAAAAUUCAGCCACUGCAUGUUUCAAACAAGUAUUUGCUGUGUUGCCAAAGUAGAAAGAGCAGAAGGGAAACAUCAUGGGAAGAAAGACUAUUUUGUUUCUGAUUGCAGGGGUCCUUGGGGCAUAUUAUGUUUAUACUCCUCUCUCAGAUAAUAUUGAGGAACUCUGGUGACUGGUGUGGAUAGCUACACCUGUGAAAAUGGUAACAAAUUUGCUUUGUUUAAUUAUGACUUUCUGUCAAGAUGAACAGCUGAUAGACUUAAUGCUGUUGUUGUAUCAACCAACUCAUAGAAGACCCAGAUGUCAAGAUCAAACUCAAGCUUCAGUCUUUAAUAUAUCCUGCCCUUCAGACGCUUGACAUGGAUUUACUAUCACAUCAGAAAAAACUAGACUCUCUAGUUCUGUCCAAACCAUUCAUGGUCAGGUUCUGUAGGGAAUACUUUACCACAGACAGAUCACUUGAAAAAGUCAUGUUCUUCAACAUGUACCAAUGGAAUCAAACCAUCUGUUCAGAUUUGUUAAUUGGAGUUCCUUGCUCACUGAGAAGUUUAAGAAAGGCCACUUUUGUUAUAUUCCAACUCGUGGUAGUUCUGAGCUAGCUAAAAAAUAUCCAGGGUUCCUAGAUGUGAGGGCAGCCCCUUUGUUGGCCAAUGACAAGUUACAUGGUUUACCCCUGUCCUAUAUCAUCACCUGUCAAUAUGACAUCUUAAGAGAUGAUGGACUCAUGUACAUCACGCGACUUUAGAACUCUGGAGUUCAAGUGACACAUAACCACAGUGAAGAUGGAUUCCAUGGAGCACUUUCCUAUAAUGGGCUUAAAAUUGAGUAUGGAAUAGAAAAUCAGUAUAUGAGUUGGCUAAGUGAAAAUCUAUAGUAAAAAUGUAAGCAAUGGUUUAUUUAAAAUGUAUAAGGCUCAGAACAGGAAACAAAUUAGUGAAAAUCAAAGGGUUGAUGUUUGAAUUGGUCUUUAUCAUCUGUGACCUUUCUAAGGUCCUCAUAGCCAUAGUGGGUUUUGGUUUUGUUUUUAUUUAUUGGCCGCUAGCAAAUUCUUCUCCAUUUUAUUUAUUAUCCUGUUAUUCACUCACUUCUGUGAAGAUACUUUAGUAUUUUCUUCUGCUACCAUUACUCACUUGUUAAAUCUCUAGUUUACAGCUAUAGUUUUUUGAUUGCCGAAUAGUAUUACAGAUGAGAAGAAAGUUUUAAACAAACACGUCUGAUUUGUAAAAUGCCAGUUUUAGUCAACAUGAAUUUAGAGACUUAAAAUGUUUCCCUGUGAGAACUGAUAUGAAAUAUGUGCCAUCUCUUUUAAAAAGCAUUUGCCUCAAUAUAAUGCUGUUUGCCUGUCACUGUAAAAUUUGCUUCUUAAUACAGAUCUCUUCCAGUACUAGGAUACCAACA